Non-coding RNA from Macroventuria anomochaeta, 101 nucleotides. The record is from the annotation of a RefSeq genome assembly. NCBI's taxonomy places the organism in Eukaryota, Fungi, Ascomycota, Dothideomycetes, Pleosporales, Didymellaceae.
GGCCUAAUGGCCCAAUGGCAAGGCGCUUGACUACGAAUAACUAGGUAUUAAACCUGGAAGCCGCAAUCAAGAGAUUCCAGGUUCGACCCCUGGUUAGGUCA